Molecule: ribosomal RNA, 705 nt
Filed under: Triticum aestivum (bread wheat)
Lineage: Eukaryota; Viridiplantae; Streptophyta; Magnoliopsida; Poales; Poaceae
Description: partial small subunit ribosomal RNA
Source: RNAcentral
AUGUUGUCCAUCUCCCUCAUCAUACUCCUGGUGAACCCCAAUCUGUACAGGCCAGCUAUACGAAGCAAUGCACUAUCUGUUUGUAUGGCGGUGGGCUUGUUUUGUUUGAUGGGGGCCUAUGCCGCUGGAAGCACCCAACGCCUCAAGACAUCCAUCUACAUCUUCGUGUUGGUCGGUGUGGUCCUUCUCGUUGUAGUUGGACUGCUGCUGGUAUGUUUGCUAAGGGAGCAGAACAAUGAUGGCAGUUCAGCAGCUGUUGGGCCAUCCAUAUCCCAUGAACAGAAGCACGAAGAAGAAGAAGAAAGGAAGGAGGAUGAAGAAGAAAUGAAGAACCACGCGAGGCGCAAGUACCUGAUGCUGCUAGGCGUCUUGGUGGCAAGUGUAGCCUACCAGGUCGGCCUAGAACCACCGGGAGGAGCGUGGCAGAGCAGUGGCAAUGGGUACGAGGCGGGCGACCCGGUGAUGCACGAUAACAGGAGGCCCCAGUACCUCGUCUUCUUCUACAGCAACUCCUUUUCCUUCGUGGCUUCCAUUGUUGUCAUCAUGAUGUUGCUACCGCACUGGCUGCCAAACAAUAAGGAAGAAGAAUGGGAGAAAUGGUCGCUGAGGGUCCUGAACUGGACGAUCCUACUGGAUUUGGUCACUCAGUGGCCUAUGCAGCCGGCUCCAGCAGGGGGCGGGAGACGCCUGUGUAUGUCGGUAUGA